UAGCAGCCACGGGAAUACGUAGGGUGCAAGCGUUAAUCGGAAUUACUGGGCGUAAAGCGUGCGCAGGCGGUUAUAUAAGACAGAUGUGAAAUCCCCGGGCUCAACCUGGGAACUGCAUUUGUGACUGUAUAGCUAGAGUACGGCAGAGGGGGAUGGAAUUCCGCGUGUAGCAGUAAAAUGCGUAGAUAUGCGGAGGAACACCGAUGGCGAAGGCAAUCCCCUGGGCCUGUACUGACGCUCAUGCACGAAAGCGUGGGGAGCAAACAGGAUUAGAGACCCCUGUAGUCCCUGUCUCUUAUAC
This 301-nucleotide ribosomal RNA is filed under the name uncultured bacterium. RNAcentral's name for it is "partial 16S ribosomal RNA". It matches the Rfam family "Bacterial small subunit ribosomal RNA", at positions 509 to 807 of the family's 1533-position model. The record is from RNAcentral.